RNAcentral lists this small RNA (124 nucleotides) under Marmota monax (woodchuck). The record is from RNAcentral. Lineage: Eukaryota; Metazoa; Chordata; Mammalia; Rodentia; Sciuridae.
GCUGUGUGUGGUGGUGCACACCUGUAAUCUCAGUGACUUGGGAACUGAGACAGGAGGAUCAUGAGUUCAAAGCCAGCCUCAGCAAAAGUGAGGUGCUAAGCAACUCAGUGAGAUCCUGUCUCUA